UCCUAGCAGGAUCAUGGAGUUAGAGCUUCCGUAAAUAGAAUUUGCUUUCCGUUUCCUCUAAACUUCAGCCUUUAUCGUGGAAUCUUAAUCCUUGACGUUUAUUCACAAAUAAGGAGAGAGAGAGGUUCUAAGUCUGAUAGAAGGUCAGCAAAAGAAGCUGUUUGUUGUUUGUUGUUUGUGGAAGCAGAGAGGAAAAAGAAGAGGGGAGACGGAUCUCAGUGAAAGGAGGGAAGGGAUGGAGAUCCAGCAAAAGCAAUUUAAAGUGAAGCUACAGUUGGGUUGAUACUGCAUUCUGGCAGGGGAAUGGAGUCAAGAGAUUAGAUGGGGAAGAGGGUUGAGGAGGGAAAAAGUCAGCAUUCCUGAGAUCAAGGAGACAACAGGAACAUCUGAAUGGAGAUCUCUGGUCUGUGAGUUUAUAAGCAAAAGUGUAGGCUAGCAGAGAAAUGAAUUCUGCAUUUAGCCUUACAGGAUACUUGCCUACUCAGAAACAAGAGACAAGAACGGGAAAAAUGUAUAAAGGAACUCCAAUUUUUGGAUUUACUUUUGUGAGUAUGAUUACCUCCAAAGCCACAGUUCACAGACCCUUCCCCACUGCAUGGAAAUCCAUCUAUGGAUCUCAAGGGAAGAGCAGCUUAUCUAGGUGAUUUCUAAGGUCCUGGAACUUCUAGUGCCAACAUUCUAUGAUCUUUAUCCUUCUUCUGACCUCAAGACUCUGGACCAUGGAUUUCCUCCUCAGAGGAGACGGAGGAGAAAUAAUGGGGUUUGUGGGUACUGAAAAAAAGACAUCAACAUUAUGACCAACGAAGUGCUACAGCAAAGGAAAGGCCCUGGGAAAACGUGUGUAGUAUUGAAGCGGCUCCUUUUUGUUGUGGGAAAGUUUAAUUUCUGCUCAUGAACUUACCCAAUAAACUAAUGCAAACAUUUAAA
Molecule: long non-coding RNA, 927 nt
Organism: Trichosurus vulpecula (common brushtail)
Lineage: Eukaryota; Metazoa; Chordata; Mammalia; Diprotodontia; Phalangeridae
Exons: 3
Source: RefSeq, a predicted model, not a curated record